Long non-coding RNA from Heterocephalus glaber (naked mole-rat), 3575 nucleotides. NCBI's taxonomy places the organism in Eukaryota, Metazoa, Chordata, Mammalia, Rodentia, Bathyergidae. The record is from Ensembl.
CUAAAAUAGGCAUGCAAGUAGGCAAAUAAGCUCACAAAUAAGAUAAUUUUAGAUGAUGAUAAGAGGCCAAAAGCAAAUAAAACAAGGCAAGAGCGUAACAGAGUGAACAGCAUCAGAGUGGGUGUUCAAGAAUAGUCUCUGUAGAGUGACCGCAUGAGGAUAAGAAGUCAGCAAGAGGACAAGGAGCCAGCAAGAGGAGAUGCUUGGGAGGCCAGCCUUGGAAGGACUGAAGACAGAAGAGCUGCAGGCAGAGUUUGCCUUUUACUUGCCACAGUGGACGCAUGCUUGUGGUGAAAGGGCUCCAGGACCGCUUGGCUGGGAUGGUAACGCAGCGCACAGUGGCGGAGAGCUCAGAGACUAGGCCUGUCUGGAGGGUCCUGUAUGUGAGCUGAUCAUCCACCUCACAGCAGCCUUUCAGCUAUCACCCUCAUUUUACAGGUGUUGCUGUGCAGCCCAGGCUGCCCUCCGACUCACAGAGACCCUCCUGCCUCAGCCCCUCCCGGAGUGCUGGGAUUGCAGUCCAAGCCCAGCAAUUGCCCAGAAAGAGAUCACUCCUUCAGCCCUAUACCAAAUGAAGAUUAUGCAGAUGCAAAGGACCAAGGGCUUUGGCCAGCUAUGAGAGACCCCUGCCAUGAACGGGAAAUAGGGGAGUAGGUGUAUACGAGUGCAUGUAAAUGUAAAAUAUAUGUUCAUGCAGGUGGGUGUGCAUGUAUACACGAGUGUAUGUCUUUAUGAAUUUCUGUCUCGUGAUUCAAUCCUGGAGUCAAUUGUAUUCCUUUAGAAACUCACUAUAGAAAAAUCCACGUUCUUCACCUUCAUAAGUCAUUGUGAGGUCUGCGGGACCUCAUAAGUCAUUGUGAGGCUGUCUCUAACCCGCUAAAGGUUAUCUGCCUUUACCCUAUCCCUCUGCCAUUUUCAUUGUUCUUAAUUGUACCCUGUUCAUUGAAGUGUUUCUAACUUUGUUUAUCCUUUUUCUUACAGGAGAAACAUAGAAAAAUAACUGCAGUUAGUUCUUUCAAGGUUGUGACAAUAACAAAGAUGAGGAGCUUGGGCCCAAGUCCCCAGGUCCCCGAGGACAGCAGAACUGGUGUCAGCUGCCACGGCUAUGUUUUGUGUGCGACACUAACAAGUGGUAACCAUGGGGUUUUGUGAGUUUCCUUGCCCUACUUGGCCUCACACAGAGGUGCCAGCAAGUAAUGAAGUCCCCAGGCAAGUGCAUCAGCUUUGGACAAGAGCUUGGCUGUGUUCAAUGUCAUGAGCCCCUUAUACAAUGUCACAGGGUGACUCCUGUCUUUGAGUACUCACAAAGUGCACAGGCAGGCACUUAGGAGUUCUCAUACCUGAAGGCUGCUGCUAUGUUUCCCAAUCAUCCCUUGCUGGGAGAGCGGAAACUGUGGUUAGACAAAUUAAUCCUAGGAGAAGUUAAGCAAUUGUCAUCUCAGAGAAGAGCUUCUAUGCCCUCAAGGCCCUGAAAACCACAUACAGUCAAAAUCUCACAUUUAAUUUAUAUUAAGCAUGGAAUUAAUAAGAGCCCAUGGUAAUAAAUUGUCAGGGAAAGAAAUGAAAAGAAGAUAUCAUACAAUAUUUAUGUAAUAAAAAUAAUCACCUUCAUUAAUAUAACCCACAUUUUUUUUCUUGGUAGGACCUAGUAAUAAAAAGCAUUUAAAUCACUGUUAGGAGAUUACUAUACUUUAUACAAUACAUGUAAAGACUAAACACACUGCUUUUGUCAAAAGCACAAUAUCCUGAAAUAAAUGACCUCAGAAAAAAAUAAAAUGUGCUUCUGAAUAUUUCUCAAUUUCUAACAGAAAAUUCAACAUCUAUCUAUUCAAUAAAUUAUCCUUUCCCGAACAUGUUUGAAAUUUUAUAAUGAAUGCAGCUGGCAGAAAAAUUGAAAUGUAAUUGAGUGACAUCUUUUAAUCAUAUCAUAGGUUGGAGCUGGGAAAUGUAAACAAGAGAGGUGGCUCCAGGAUUUCUUCUAUCGCUCAUCUUAAAUGGCUGGCUGCAUUGUUUUAGUCACUGAACAAACCCAUCUAGGUUUUAUAUGAAGGCAAGCUGGUUUUCUCUUGAAGGAAGAGUCAUAAAUGACACCAAUGUAUUUGCAACUGUGAGUUCCCUAUCUUUAUGCUGCCAGCAAUUUCAAUUUAAAAAAAACCAUUAGAGAAGCUGUAAUAAAAUCAUCUCUAAGUGGAAGGAAUGUGAUUAGGGAAAGCAGGAUUCUAAACCCCAUUUAAUUGCAGGAGUUUGGAGAGGUUUGCUGGUGUGUGUGUGCCUUGCAGUUCCCUAACAUCUUGAGAUGUGACCUGGACUGAAACCUUAAAGGCUAUUAACAGUAUUUUGUAUUCCCAGGUAAGCACCUUUGCUGACACUUUCAAAUGCUCCGUAUGUCUAUAUGAAAACCACUUGUGCUUUGUUUGUAUGGUUUUCCUAUUGUAUGUUACCUCAAUAGUCUUUUGUGAUAGGAAUAUAGAAUAAACAUGUUAGGAUUCUAAAGCUGUCAUCUUCUGUGGCCUAGUUUGUUGAUUCCUUUUCCUUCAGGAAAUUAUACUCAUGCCAUCUGUCAUAAUUCCCCUGGAGUCCCUGCUACACAACCACAUUAUAACAAGAUGCUUUUGUUCCUUUGAUAAUUAAAUGCUCUAUUGAAUAGUGAGAAAAAACAGAUUUAUCUUGUAUAAUUCUCCUCUAAGGAGAAAGGAGGUUAAGGACACCUCCAGAUAGCAAUAGAUAGUGUUACUAGAAGAUAAUGAGGUAAUUGCCACGGGCAGGGCCUGGUUUCUUUACACCGUGAAUAUAAAAUACCAUUUUAUCUUUAUAACAUGAAUGGGCAAAGUAUAUUAGGCAAAUUUUUACUGUUAGAAAGAAGGUGAUUAUCUGUGAUUCUGAGCCAGUUAUCUUAAAUAGCUUUAUGUGUGGCUAUUAACUUCAUUUACCACAUAAUUUGCCUAAGAAAAUAGUAUGUUUUAAAUAACUAAGCCCAUGCCUAUGUCCUCAACUGCAGACAUGCAUUUGAUUGCUGAGACCACACCUGGUAACAUUCUCAGAGGUCACUGGGGGAGGACAGGGUGAUGGCCAGUUUUGUGUGUCAGGGUUAUAGCUGGCUGCGUACCCUUAUUUAGUCAAACAUUAACUCAGUUGUUGCUGUGAAAGUCUUUGUAGAUGUGGUUAACAUGUAUAGUUAAUUGAGUAUGUGGGGGUGGGGUUGGGUGUGGGGGUGGUGUUGAGGGUUGAGCCCAGGGCCUUCACAGUGAGCUACAACCUCAGGCCUUUUACAAUUUUGUUUUGAGACAGUGUCUCACUAAGCUGCUAAGCUGCCCAGGCUGGGCUUGAACUUGUGAUCCUCUUGCUUCAGCUUCCCAGAGAGCUAGGAUUAUAGGAGACACUAUUGUGACUGGCUUAUAAUCACGGAAUUUUAAGCAAAGGUAUACCUUCAGCAAUUGUGAAAGACGCCUCAUCCAAUGAGUUGAAAGUCUUAAGCUCAAAAACUAAGAUUUCCCAGAGAAGAAAUUCUUCUCCUCAAAACAAACUCAAACUAUUAGACUUCUGCCUGAGUUUUCAGCUUAUCCAGACAAAUUCCC